UUGACACGAGAUAUAUAAUUUUGAAUUGUUUAAAUUUUAAAGAAUGAAAAGACAACUAACAAUCAUUGAUAAUAAUUACAGCUUUAGUAAUUUAUAUUUUUCAAAAAUGAUUUGCAUAAUGCACAAUUCAUUAAAAGAGCCAUGUAAAACGAUUGAGUGCAUAAAAAUUAAUUUAUUUAUUUUAUAGUUCAUUCUUAGGAAAGCUGUUACCUGUUUGUUUGGUUUUGUGUUUUUUUCUAUUUUUCUCGUGUCUUUGUGUCGCAAACACAUAAAUAUAAGUUGAUUAAAAAUGUACUGUGUUCAAUCUUUCAGGUGUUCUUAUUAUGAUCAUUUUUUAUAUUUACAUUCUUAUGUUGUAUUUAAUCAUGCGGUUGUCUUAUUGUAAAAAAUAUCUGAGACAUGUAAUUACAUAAUAGUUGGAAUGUAUGCAUCAUGCACACAAUCUUGAUUAUCUGGUAUUUCAUACUUAUUUUAAAUAAUGAAGAAAAAUGAAUUGGAGAAUAGUUUUUGUACAAAUCAAAAGAUUGAUUUGAUUGUAAGUUUACAAAAUUUGAGUAAUAAAAUAAUAUUUUUUUAUGAAACAAUUUUCCUAUGAUACUUCAUAUAUAUAUAUAUAUAUAUAUUCAUACAUACACACACAUAUAGAGUUACAUAAUUAUCACUAAUAUAAUGAAUUUGGUGUAUGUUUUAGUAUGAUACAGGUUUUCUCGUUGCAUUAUUUAUAAAUUUUACAUUUUAAAACUUUCUGCUCCGUCUAUACUUUCUAUUAAAAAUUGACAAUCUCUGGUAAGGCAUGUGACCUUACGUUACAAACACAAUUAUAAAAGUUACUCAAAUGU
Molecule: long non-coding RNA, 839 nt
Filed under: Physcomitrium patens
Lineage: Eukaryota; Viridiplantae; Streptophyta; Bryopsida; Funariales; Funariaceae
Description: long non-coding RNA (PPAT_LNC001716)
Source: RNAcentral